GAUGAACGCUGGCGGCGUGCCUAAUACAUGCAAGUCGAGCGAACAGACGAGGAGCUUGCUCCUCUGACGUUAGCGGCGGACGGGUGAGUAACACGUGGAUAACCUACCUAUAAGACUGGGAUAACCUCGGGAAACCGGAGCUAAUACCGGAUAAUAUAUUGAACCGCAUGGUUCAAUAGUGAAAGACGGUUUUGCUGUCACUUAUAGAUGGAUCCGCGCCGCAUUAGCUAGUUGGUAAGGUAACGGCUUACCAAGGCAACGAUGCGUAGCCGACCUGAGAGGGGGAUCGCCCACACUGGAACUGAGACACGGCCCAGCCCCCGACGGGAGGCACAAGUGGGGAAUUGUCCACAAUGGGAGAAAGCCUGACAGAGCAACGCGGGGUGGGUGAUGAAGGUUUUCGGAUGUAAAAACUUUUUUAUGGGGAAAAAAAAAAUGUAUAAGAAACUAUACACGUCUGGAGGGUACAAAAUAAAAAAGCAAGGGCAAACUCCGGG
RNAcentral lists this ribosomal RNA (497 nucleotides) under uncultured bacterium. RNAcentral describes it as "partial 16S ribosomal RNA". It matches the Rfam family "Bacterial small subunit ribosomal RNA", at positions 28 to 507 of the family's 1533-position model. The record is from RNAcentral.